This 77-nucleotide transfer RNA is filed under the name Microcoleus sp. FACHB-1515. Its description in RNAcentral is "tRNA-His". The record is from RNAcentral. Lineage: Bacteria; Bacillati; Cyanobacteriota; Cyanophyceae; Oscillatoriales; Microcoleaceae. RNAcentral also lists the same sequence under 1 other name.
GUGACUGAACCCGAAGUGAUGGAGGGGCUGGUCUGUGAAACCAGUAUUAACGAGUUGAAGUCUCGUCAGUCACCCCA